GGUGGCUCAGUGGUAGAACGCUUGCCUUUCAUGCAUGAGGCCUGGGUUCAAUUCCUCAGCACCA
This 64-nucleotide transfer RNA is filed under the name Dipodomys ordii (Ord's kangaroo rat). It matches the Rfam family "tRNA". Rfam says of the family: Transfer RNA (tRNA) molecules are approximately 80 nucleotides in length. Their secondary structure includes four short double-helical elements and three loops (D, anti-codon, and T loops). Lineage: Eukaryota; Metazoa; Chordata; Mammalia; Rodentia; Heteromyidae. The record is from Rfam by way of RNAcentral.